RNAcentral lists this ribosomal RNA (253 nucleotides) under uncultured bacterium. Its description in RNAcentral is "partial 16S ribosomal RNA". It matches the Rfam family "Bacterial small subunit ribosomal RNA", at positions 524 to 776 of the family's 1533-position model. The record is from RNAcentral.
UACGUAGGGGGCAAGCGUUGUCCAGAAUCAUUGGGCGUAAAGAGCGUGUAGGCGGCCCGAUAAGUCCGCUGUGAAAGUCCAGGGCUCAACCCUGGGAUGCCGGUGGAUACUGUCGGGCUCGAGUCCGGAAGAGGCGAGUGGAAUUCCUGGUGUAGCGGUGAAAUGCGCAGAUAUCAGGAGGAACACCAAUGGCGAAGGCAGCUCGCUGGGACGUGACUGACGCUGAGACGCGAAAGCGUGGGGAGCAAACAGG